CCUACGGGUGGCAGCAGUCGGGAAUAUUGCGCAAUGGAGGAAACUCUGACGCAGUGACGCCGCGUAUAGGAAGAAGGUUUUCGGAUUGUAAACUAUUGUCGUUAGGGAAGAUAAAAGACUGUACCUAAGGAGGAAGCCCCGGCUAACUAUGUGCCAGCAGCCGCGGUAAUACAUAGGGGGCAAGCGUUAUCCGGAAUUAUUGGGUGUAAAGGGUGCGUAGACGGAAGAACAAGUUGGUUGUGAAAUCCCUCGGCUCAACUGAGGAACUGCAACCAAAACUAUUCUCCUUGAGUGUCGGAGAGGAAAGUGGAAUUCCUAGUGUAGCGGUGAAAUGCUUAGAGAUCAUACAGAACACCGAUUGCGAAGGCAGCUUACCAAUCUAUAUCUGACGUUGAGGCACGAAAGCGUGGGGAGCAAACAGGAUUAGAUACCCGUGUAGUC
Molecule: ribosomal RNA, 441 nt
Filed under: uncultured bacterium
Lineage: Bacteria
Description: partial 16S ribosomal RNA
Rfam family: Bacterial small subunit ribosomal RNA
Source: RNAcentral